Molecule: long non-coding RNA, 339 nt
Organism: Rattus norvegicus (Norway rat)
Lineage: Eukaryota; Metazoa; Chordata; Mammalia; Rodentia; Muridae
Source: Ensembl
CUUCAGUUCCACUUCCAUUUGUCUCAGGCGGUCUGUGGGAUUGGCAAGAGAGGUGGACGUCAAUAUGCAGAAGAACGACACAGGCCCCACCCACCACACUGAAGAGCAGACACCUAUCUUGAAUCAUUCACCUAUAGCUGGACAUAAGACCCCCACCAAUGGCUGUGAAUCUGAACCCACUCACGCCUGUGCAAAAGUUACCUCUUCUCAUCUGCUUCUUCAGGACCAGGAUGUCCCAAGUGGCCCUAACCUUUGAAUAUCACUCUUGGAGACCCAUAUCUCCUCCCCAAGGCUGGGGAGUUUGCAGGGGAUGAAGGUUGCUAUGAAGACCAAUAGCCA